This is a long non-coding RNA of Ictalurus punctatus (channel catfish), 1481 nucleotides long. Lineage: Eukaryota; Metazoa; Chordata; Actinopteri; Siluriformes; Ictaluridae. The record is from Ensembl.
AGACCACUCCCACUUCUUCAGUUAUGUCAUACAGACCACUCCCACUUCUUCAGUUAUGUCAUACAGACCACUCCCACUUCUUCACUUAUGUCAGAUAGACCACUCCCUUAGUGAGGUCACAGAUGUGUUCAUGUAGUUUUGGAAUCUAUAAAGCUCACCGUGUAGCUCUGGAACGUUAGUUAUGGAGGACUUUGACCAUCAGAUUCAUAGAAAUUAUUUGACGUGACAUUCCCACAGGAUUAAGAUCUCACAUGUAAAACUGUAUCCAUCGUACAGAUGUUUGUGUCUCUAUGUUUUAAAACACGUAAAACACAUUGCCUGCAGUUCGAAGCUAUUUUAUGGCAUGAGCAGUGCUGAUUAACACUAUUUAAAAGUUUAAUAUAUUUAAUCCAUUAUUAUGGAGCAAAAAUCUAAAUGACACAAGCAAGUUACGGAGCAUCGAGCACAGAUUGCCCUGCAGCUCUUCACUGUAAUGUGUUAUUAGCAGAACAGUGACAUUAGUCAUGGAUGCAUCUUCAGUGUAGUUAGGUUAAUUUUACCACAUAGCUUGUAGCAUAGCUAUACAUAAUUUCAUUACUAUAACAGAUUGUAAAGAAAUCAGACGUUUCUCUCAGAGUCACGCUGCUUCUGAUGAAUUAAAAACAUUCUGGACAUAUCUCUCCACAGAGACUGUAUGAGUUUAGAGCAUUUUCAUUACUGCAGAAUCACUUUCCCGUGAUCAGAGUUUGGCAUCAUUCUGACCCCAAGUUUAACUGUGUUAACUAAAUCUGCAUCAUAGUUCCAGUGCAACACACAAACACACAAACACACACACUCACACACUCACACACACACACACACAAAUGUUAUACAGUUAUUUGAUUGCAUGAAUGCAUUCAAGAUUCUGUAGAUUAAAAAAAACAUCAAAUAUUAUUUAUUGUAAUAAAAAAUUUGUACAUGUCUGUGUUUUGGCCUUUUUGUGUAAAUUAUUUUAAUAUUAAAUGUCAACAUCAGCUGAGAUUAUGCAUUUAAUCACUCAGUACUGGCUUUAACCCUUCAUUUACACACACAAACAAACAGAUAUUUAUUUAAAUAAAAAUACAAACUGGGAAAAAUUAAAGUGAACGUCAAUAUUUCUUACUACAAUGCACUAUAAUAAUCGGAGGUGGUGGCCUCUGUACCUGUAAGUCCCAGUGAAGGAGGUGUGGCCUCUGUACCUGUAAGUCCCAGUGAAGGAGGUGUGGCCUCUGUACCUGUAAGUCCCAGUGAAGGAGGUGUGUCCUCUGUACCUGUAAGUCCCAGUGAAGGAGGUGUGGCCUCUGUACCUGUCAGUCUCUGUGAAGGAGGUAAGAUUUAUCUGUACAGAGGUUUAUCUGUGCUGUGGUCCUCAAACUGUUUGUGGGGGUUUCUGAACUGUAUGUGAGCUGUUCUCCACCCAUUGCACCUGCGCUGCACACUAGACCUUCCAGCAUCACAGCAUACACCGAUUCAUUCACUACUGU